AAGAUUCAGAAUACUCAAUUCACAUACACCAUAUGUGAAUUUUUAAUUUUUAAUAGUAAAAAGUUAAUUAUCAUUUUUACGAAGUUAUCGGUUAAUGCUUACUAUAUAUAUUUACUUUGUAAUUGCUUCGAUUUGAUUCUUUAAAUAUUUUAAGCUCUAUUUAUGCCCAUUUUCAUUUCUAGCCAUAUAAUGAUGUUUCAUAGAGAAGCUCAACUUUUGGCCUUCCCCUUGACAUUUUCUCUUGAGGCACCUUCUUGGAAAUUUGAACUAAUGGUAGUUUAUGUCCCUCCUCUGUUAUAAUUUCGGCUAUUAAAAUCUCUAUCGUUAAUCAAAGUUCUACAUUUGUUCUAUUUUUGACGAAAUGGGACACGUGGCAGAUUUGAACUUAAAAAUCUAUCCCACAACUGAACUAACCUGUCCUAACCCAUGACCCGUCGGAUCCCCCCACUCUAAAUUAAAAAACCCGAUAACCUAAUAACCCUCCCCUCAUCGUAAAUCAACCAUUGAUAAAUCAAUAGCGACCAAAUUUAGAGUUCUGGUGUUUUCUCUCAUCUCUUUUCUUCUUAAACUUAUGCGUUAAGGAUGUUUAGGUCGUCGAAAGGCAUACAAUAUCGGAGAAUAGUUGUUCAUCGAAGAUGAUGUGCAAUUGUGGAGAAGUUACCAAUCAUUUCACUUCGAAAAACUCUCCUAAACCCAGGAAAGACAUUCUACAAGUGUCCUAAACUUGAGAAUGAAGGAUGUGGUUUCUGGCAAUGGAACGAUGAAGAGUUCACUGAUGCUGCGUUAAUUGCAAUAAACAAUGUACGAUUAGAAGCUGCAAAUCGAGAGAUUAAUAUGUUGAAUAUUUCUUUGGAAGCUCUUAAAGUUGAAAGGGAUGGCUUGAACUAAAGGGUUGAAGUAUUAGAGGCUAUGAAUAAUUCUGCAGUUAAAAAAUCUAUGAAAUUGGAAGACAAGGUGUUGAAGAUGAAGAUGUUCAGCAUAAUUUUAAGUGCCCUAAUUGUUGGAUUUACUUUCUCGUUUAUGAAGUGAAUUACUUAGGACAAUCUUGUAUCUGUAAUAUUUUUAUUUAGUACUAAUGGAAAUUGUUAGUGACUUUUUUUGGCUAA
Long non-coding RNA from Nicotiana tabacum (common tobacco), 1106 nucleotides. RefSeq lists it as uncharacterized. NCBI's taxonomy places the organism in Eukaryota, Viridiplantae, Streptophyta, Magnoliopsida, Solanales, Solanaceae. The record is from RefSeq and is a predicted model, not a curated record.